This 77-nucleotide transfer RNA is filed under the name Candidatus Saccharimonadota bacterium. Its description in RNAcentral is "tRNA-Arg". It matches the Rfam family "tRNA". From Rfam's summary of the family: Transfer RNA (tRNA) molecules are approximately 80 nucleotides in length. Their secondary structure includes four short double-helical elements and three loops (D, anti-codon, and T loops). Further hydrogen bonds mediate the characteristic L-shaped molecular structure. tRNAs have two regions of fundamental functional importance: the anti-codon, which is responsible for specific mRNA codon recognition, and the 3' end, to which the tRNAs corresponding amino acid is attached (by aminoacyl-tRNA synthetases). tRNAs cope with the degeneracy of the genetic code in two manners: having more than one tRNA (with a specific anti-codon) for a particular amino acid; and 'wobble' base-pairing, i.e. permitting non-standard base-pairing at the 3rd anti-codon position. The record is from RNAcentral. Lineage: Bacteria; Candidatus Saccharimonadota.
GCGCCCGUAGCUCAACGGAUUAGAGUGUCUGGCUUCGAACCAGAAGGUCGCAGGUUCGAAUCCUGCCGGGCGUACCA